Molecule: unclassified non-coding RNA, 295 nt
Filed under: Hevea brasiliensis (rubber tree)
Lineage: Eukaryota; Viridiplantae; Streptophyta; Magnoliopsida; Malpighiales; Euphorbiaceae
Source: RNAcentral
AGCAGUAUUUCCCUGUUCAAAAGUUUUUAAACAUAAGAAAGCAAUUGCAGCACUGGUAAGAGUGGUGGUACUCAUUAGCAACCAUGAAAGGGAGAAGAAACUGGAUGAGAACCUUACAACAUCUAGUCAAUAGCACAAUCAGCAAAUAAAAACUUAUGCAUGAGGAUGGCAAAACAUAAGAACUAGAAGUUAAUUCUCAUGAACAAGUUUAGCUUCUAGAAAUUCAGGUAAUCUACACUCUACCAAGCAGCAACUCGGAUAUCUACAUUUACCUUAUCAUUAAGCAUCUGAUCAU